RNAcentral lists this ribosomal RNA (460 nucleotides) under uncultured bacterium. RNAcentral's name for it is "SSU rRNA". It matches the Rfam family "Bacterial small subunit ribosomal RNA", at positions 26 to 518 of the family's 1533-position model. The record is from RNAcentral.
AGGAUGAACGCUGGCGGUCUGCUUAACACAUGCAAGUCGAACGGGCGUAGCAAUACGUUAGUGGCGGACGGGUGAGUAACGCGUGAGAAUCUACCUUCAGGACGGAGACAACAGUUGGAAACGACUGCUAACCCCCGAUGUACUGAAAAGGCAAAUAUUUAUAGCCUGAAGAAGAGCUCGCGUCCGAUUAGCUAGUUGGAGAGGUAAAAGCUCACCAAGGCGACGAUCGGUAGCUGGUCUGAGAGGACGAUCAGCCACACUGGGACUGAGACACGGCCCAGACUCCUACGGGAGGCAGCAGUGGGAAUUUUCCGCAAUGGGCGAAAGCCUGACGGAGCAAGACCGCGUGGGGGAAGAAGGCUCUUGGGUUGUAAACCCCUUUUCUCUGGGAAGAAGUUGUGAAAGCAGCCUGACGGUACCAGAGGAAUCAGCAUCGGCUAACGUCCGUGCCAGCAGCCGC